CUAACACACACAGCGCCCUAACACUCAGUAACCUAACACACACAGAACCCUCACACAGCACCCUAAUACACAGCACCCUAACACAUCACCCUAACACACACACCACCCUAACACACACAGCGCCCUAACGCUCAGUGCCCUAACACACACAGCGCCCUAACACUCAGUGCCCUAACACACACAGAACCCUCACACACCACCCUCGCACAGCAUCAUAACACACAUAGCACCCUAACAC
Pelobates cultripes (western spadefoot toad) is the source of this 238-nucleotide non-coding RNA. NCBI's taxonomy places the organism in Eukaryota, Metazoa, Chordata, Amphibia, Anura, Pelobatidae. The record is from the annotation of a GenBank genome assembly.